This 477-nucleotide ribosomal RNA is filed under the name uncultured bacterium. RNAcentral describes it as "partial 16S ribosomal RNA". It matches the Rfam family "Bacterial small subunit ribosomal RNA", at positions 28 to 507 of the family's 1533-position model. The record is from RNAcentral.
GAUUAACGCUGGCGGCGUGCAUAACACAUGCAAGUCGAACGAUGAAACUUAGUAGACUUCUUCGGAAAGACACUAAGCGGCUUAGUGGCGAACGGGUGAGUAACGCGUGAGUAACCUGCCUUACACAAGGGGAUAGCCUUUGGAAACGAAGAAUAAUACCCUAUAAAACCAUAAAAGCACAUGCUAGAAUGGUCAAAGUGAUAGCGGUGUAAGAUGGACUUGCGUCUGAUUAGCUAGUUGGUGAGAUAAAAGCUCACCAAGGCAACGAUCAGUAGCCGGCUUGAGAGAGUGUACGGCCACAUUGGGACUGAGACACGGCCCAGACUCCUACGGGAGGCAGCAGUGGGGAAUUUUGCACAAUGGGGGAAACCCUGAUGCAGCGACGCCGCGUGAUUGAGAAGGCCUUCGGGUUGUAAAAAUCUUUUGUAUAGGAAGAAAAUGACAGUACUAUACGAAUAAGGUCCGGCUAAUUACGUG